This is a long non-coding RNA of Apis cerana (Asiatic honeybee), 1035 nucleotides long. RefSeq lists it as uncharacterized. The record is from RefSeq and is a predicted model, not a curated record. NCBI's taxonomy places the organism in Eukaryota, Metazoa, Arthropoda, Insecta, Hymenoptera, Apidae.
AUCGCCGUUCCUCUCUACCCGUUUCCACUCGAUUCGAUCGACCUCGCUCCGUCGACACGCCGACUCCUCGACGCGGCCAAGCUUACGCGAUUCUCAUCAUAGAUAUGUAAUCGUAGAAAAACGAUACUCUUCUUUCUCUUUCGACCGUUCUUCUCCAGAGAUUCGUCUCGAAUCGAUAAUCGAAUCGGGCGUAUAUCGCAUGUAUCGAACCGUUACACGGGACAGAAUUAAAAACGGGAUGGAAAGUAGUAUAGGGAGGAGGGAGGAGAGAAGGUAUAUGUGCCGAACAAAGUUAGAGAUCCAGAGUUUCGAUGUACAGAGUUCCACUGCUUAUGAAAAUCCGUAAAAUCGUUAAGUGUGAAAAUAUAUUUCGUAUAUAACUUUUUACCGCACUGCGUGAUCUAUCGUGAUCUCGUACAACUAUAUCGUUUACUAGAGAAUAGAAAAAUCGAUUAGAUGGAGGAAUCGUCUCAAACUGUUCCCCAUAUGUCGAAAUAUGUAAAGAAAAAAGGAAGAAAAAUAUUAUUGGCCAAAAUCAAGUUAACUCUAGAAUACCGACGAUACCGUUCGUUCCAAUGCAGUUUGUAUCGAGAUUACUCUUUUUUCAUUUUUCCCACGAUUCAAAAUAUUUAAUGAAUUUUGAAAUUUUUGGAUAAAAAUAUAUAUUCAGUUACACAAAUUUAUAAAUAUUAAUUAUAAAUAUUAAUCUACAAAGAAUACGAAAUAUUAAAGACAUUUUAAUAUAUAAGCACAAAAUAAAUAAUAAAUUAUAUUUUAUAUGAAACCAUAAUGCGGUAUCUGUGCCACUAAGUAAUGUUACCAUACAUGCACACUCUUACAUAACGGAAGUCCUGUGGAUCGAUUGCACUCAAAAUGUCCAAUUUAGCAAUUUUUGGUUGCUAAAAAAAAAAAAAGAAAUCCGACGGUACACAUUCAUAUAAGUUAUAGCCACUUUUUUUUUGUCGAUAUUUUUGUAUUAUUCGAUAAUAAAUUAUUAAAUAAAUUUUAAAUAAAAAGAAAAAUUACUAAAUUACC